This is a long non-coding RNA of Lemur catta (Ring-tailed lemur), 258 nucleotides long. RefSeq lists it as uncharacterized. NCBI's taxonomy places the organism in Eukaryota, Metazoa, Chordata, Mammalia, Primates, Lemuridae. The record is from RefSeq and is a predicted model, not a curated record. The transcript has 3 exons.
CUAUGCAAGACAGAGAAGUUUCCACAGCUAUUAAGGAUGGAUGACUUUUCCUUUAGGAUGGCGUUAUCGGCAGCAGCAGGACCCAGACCUCUGCUCCAGGUCUGCAUAUAAGACACAGCUGUAAUUAUGAACAAACACAUUGCGAGAGCUUUUCUAUAAUACCGUUUUGGCCACCAAAUCCAGGUAUGGUCUGAUUCCUAUCAAAUUCCACAUUGUCAUAGGCCUUGCUGUCAUUGGGUCAUCUGUGUCCUUUGGAAC